CUCUGUUGGUUUUUCUCUUCUUCUUCUCUCUCGAGCUCCUGAAGAAUUCUGAGGCUUCUCGUUGCUCCCGAUCAUGAUUAGGGUUUGAGAUUCAAUCCAUUCUGAUUUCCGAUCGAUUUUGCCCUAGUUCAAUUCAAGUCUCUCUGGUCCCUGAGAGCUCUGAACUUGAUCAAGGAUGAAUUUGUGAAUCCGUGAAACAAAUCAGGGAUCCCGUUGAAGGACGAUAAGCGCCAACCCUCAGGGGCGUACACGGGCGGGGAAAUUGCCACAACGUUCUCACUCUCUUGAAACUGGGGAGCGCGGUCAGGGGGAAUCGGUCUUCUUAAAUUAUUUGUCCACAAAUAAUUUAAACAUUAAUUUUUAAAUUAAAUUUUAUUAAUUAAUUUAAAUAUGUUGUUUUCUAUCACAGUUAUUUUAAAUGCACAAUUUUAGUGGAUAGGGAGAAAUAAGAAAAAUAAAACUAACUGUUCAUGAAAAAUUUAAUUUUAAUUGUUAUUAUUAUUAUUAUUUUUAAAAUGGUUAACGUGGACACUUAUAGUAGAUAAAGGGAAUAGCUUGUAAUAUAAAAAAAAGGUAGAAUUGCCAAA
Dioscorea cayenensis subsp. rotundata (Guinea yam) is the source of this 587-nucleotide long non-coding RNA. RefSeq lists it as uncharacterized. NCBI's taxonomy places the organism in Eukaryota, Viridiplantae, Streptophyta, Magnoliopsida, Dioscoreales, Dioscoreaceae. The record is from RefSeq and is a predicted model, not a curated record. The transcript is spliced from 3 exons.